GGGGAAUAUUGCACAAUGGGCGGAAGCCUGAUGCAGCAACGCCGCGCGAGUGAAGAAGGUUUUCGGAUUGUAAAGCUCUGUCAUCCGGGACGAUAAUGACGGUACCGGAUGAGGAAGCCACGGCUAACUACGUGCCAGCAGCCGCGGUAAUACGUAGGUGGCGAGCGUUGUCCGGAAUUACUGGGCGUAAAGGGUGCGCAGGCGGACAUUUAAGUGAGAUGUGAAAUACCCGGGCUUAACCCGGGCAGUGCAUUUCAAACUGGGUGUCUGGAGUGCAGGAGAGGAGAACGGAAUUCCUAGUGUAGCGGUGAAAUGCGUAGAGAUUAGGAAGAACACCAGUGGCGAAGGCGGUUCUCUGGACUGUAACUGGCGCUGAGGCACGAAAGCGUGGGGAGCAAAC
RNAcentral lists this ribosomal RNA (400 nucleotides) under uncultured bacterium. RNAcentral describes it as "bacterial SSU rRNA". It matches the Rfam family "Bacterial small subunit ribosomal RNA", at positions 356 to 773 of the family's 1533-position model. The record is from RNAcentral.